RNAcentral lists this ribosomal RNA (469 nucleotides) under uncultured bacterium. RNAcentral describes it as "bacterial SSU rRNA". It matches the Rfam family "Bacterial small subunit ribosomal RNA", at positions 355 to 822 of the family's 1533-position model. The record is from RNAcentral.
UGGGGAAUUUUGGACAAUGGGCGCAAGCCUGAUCCAGCAAUGCCGCGUGCAGGAAGAAGGCCUUCGGGUUGUAAACUGCUUUUGUACGGAACGAAAAGGCUCUGGUUAAUACCUGGGGCACAUGACGGUACCGUAAGAAUAAGCACCGGCUAACUACGUGCCAGCAGCCGCGGUAAUACGUAGGGUGCAAGCGUUAAUCGGAAUUACUGGGCGUAAAGCGUGCGCAGGCGGUUUUGUAAGACAGGCGUGAAAUCCCCGGGCUUAACCUGGGAAUUGCGUUUGUGACUGCAAGGCUGGAGUGCGGCAGAGGGGGAUGGAAUUCCGCGUGUAGCAGUGAAAUGCGUAGAUAUGCGGAGGAACACCGAUGGCGAAGGCAAUCCCCUGGGCCUGCACUGACGCUCAUGCACGAAAGCGUGGGGAGCAAACAGGAUUAGAUACCCGAGUAGUCCCUGAGCGGGCUGGCAAGGCG